Long non-coding RNA from Rhineura floridana, 3993 nucleotides. RefSeq lists it as uncharacterized. The transcript has 4 exons. NCBI's taxonomy places the organism in Eukaryota, Metazoa, Chordata, Lepidosauria, Squamata, Rhineuridae. The record is from RefSeq and is a predicted model, not a curated record.
CUCCGCCUCCUCCUCCUCCUCCGCCUCCUCACCUGCUCCGAGCCAGCGAGGAAAGGGGGCCCGGGUGGCUGGCUGGCUGGCGUGCCGGCGCCGGGGUCCCCGCAGAGGGCGCGAGAGGGACAGGCGCCGCCUGCCUGCCUGCCUGCCUGCCUUCGGGGAGGGCUCCUCCGGGCCGGGGGCGGGACCGCCGGGCGGCCCUCGACUCGGCGGCUGGGGAUCCAGGCCAGGCCCGGCUGGCCCUGCGGGUCCGCCCACCCGCCUCUCUCUGCCUCUGUCUCUCUGCGCCGGCCUUGGAGCGGCCCUCAGCCGGCAGGAGGAAGAGGAAGGAGGAGGGCGGGGAGGGGAGAGGCGGCGCCGUCCGUGGAGAGGGGGGCGAGGAAGGAAAGGGUUAAAGGAGGACCCCCCCCCGGUCUUCCUGGCCUCUCCCGCCACAGGCAGACACUUAGGGGUCUCUCUCCCCACCCCCACUUCUGUUAUCUCCCUCUGCCUCAGUUUCCCUCAAGGUGCCUGUGCCUCUGUUCCUUCCUAAAGGUGUCUUAUUUUCAUAGAAUCAUAGAAUAGUAGAGUUGGAAGGGGCCUACAAGGCCAUCCAGUCCAACCCCCUGCGCAAUGCAGGAAUCCAAAUCAAAGCAUUCAUGACAGAUGGCUGUCCAGCUGCUUUUCUUCUUACCUUUCUUUUCUCUUUCCUUCAGAGUGCCUGCUCGUCCUUUCCAAUUUUAUUUCAGUUUCUUUCUUUGGUGUUCUUCUGUUCCUAGCUUUCUUAGCUCUGCCUCAGUUUACCCCCAAAUGCCCUUUUUCUUUCUUUCUUCUGCUGUGCUUCAGUUUCCCUCAAAGUGCUUUCCUUCCCACUCCUCCCUUUCCUUUCCUUUCCUUUCCUUUCCUUUCCUUUCCUUUCCUGCAUUCUUUCCAGUGAAACUGAAUGUUGGAAGGUUUAUAGGCAAAGCAAAGGGGACCCUCCCCCCAACUGAGCAAAUUGUUCCCACAGGAGGCAGUGGUGGCCACCAAUUUGGAUGGCAUUAGAAGAGGAUUAGACGGAUUCAUGGAGGAUGGGGCUGUCAGUGGCUGCUAGCCACGAUGGCUGCGUUCUUCCCAUGUCACAAGCAGAAGGCCUCUGCAUGCCAGUUGCUGGGAAUGGCAGUGACGAGAGUGCGUAAUGGGCAUCUGGUUGGCCACUGUGAGAGCAGGAUCCUGGACGAGAUGGGCCCCUUGGGCCUGAUCCAGCUGCCGCAGAGCUCUUGUGAUGUUCUUUUGCCUCUCUGACCUUUUCUGCCCUCCUCUUUUUCUUUCUCUGGGCUUGCCAUGUCUGUCUUUUCCUCACUUGCCCUCAAAGUUUUGGCUCCAUCUUUCUUUUCCUUCUUUCACUCUAAUUCCCCCUCAAAGCAUCUUUCUUUUGUGCAAAACUGGGAGAAGGAAGUUGUGAAAAGGAGGCUUGUGUUUGCGGAAAUGUACCACAUGUGAAGCCUUUCCUGGCCUGGCAGUUCAGCAUUGCGGGGGGGGGGAGGCUUCACCUGCUCUUGCUUCAUGGCUGCCUGUAAUGAAGAGGCUGCACCUCUUUACCCUGGCCUUUGACACCCGAGAUGAUUGCUGUUAUAUCUGACAGGAUAUUGUUAAAGACAGCCAGGUCAACAAAACCUUCUGCCGGUCAGAAUCUCUGCACUGCUCCAAAUCUUGGAUAUUACUACAGAAAAACCGCAGUGUGAAACCCAUUUUCCUCAGCAAACACAUCAAAUAUGGACAUGAAUUUACAUGCAUAUUUGUUUGUAGGUUUAUACUUGCAAUUUUGACCCCCCCCCCAAAAAAAGUCUUCAAGGUGCCUCAGAACAGCAGCGAUAGAACACAGCAAACUACACAGGAACAUGGCUAAGGAGCCCAGGAUGGCAAACAUGCAAAUGAUAAAGCAAUUAAACCAUCUUUAAAAACGGGUCUAAUGAAGAUGCAGUCUGGGAUAAAAGUCUCUACUGAAAAGGCUUUUUGGAAGAGGAAGAGGUCUUCAGUAGGUGUGGAGAAGACAACAGAGACAGAGCCUGCCUACUAUUUAAGGAGGAAGUUCCAAAAAUGGCUGCCCCAAUUUGCAUCUUGAAAUAACAUCUGCCAGGAGUGAUUUGAUGGAUUCUUUGUGCCAAAUGCGCCUGGAAGUCAGAGCCACCUGCAGCCGACAUCACACACAGGCCUCUGCCUUGAUGGGUGACCAAGGUGAUGUCUGAAUGCCAUAGUGUGUGUGCACCCAGGUGCACAUGUGUAGUGUUGUCCUUCCACAGAUGCAAUUAGUCAGUGGGCCAGAAAUGUGGAGAUAACAGGCCAUGAGCUGACUAUAAGUUCAUAAGGGCAGGAGGCAUCCCUAGCCUUUCUGCAGAUGCCAGUGGGGUUUGAAGCUGGGACCUUCUGCAUGCAAAGCAGGCACUCUGCCACUGAGCUGUGGAUGUUCCCUUAAAUAUAAAGUAAGGCUGUGUAGACCACCAUACGCUUAAGGUACAUUUAAAGCACAUCCUCCCCUUCCCAAAGACUCCUGGGAACUGUAGUUUGUUAAGGAUGCUGGGAACUGUAGCCAAUGUGAGGGGGAAACUAUAGCUCCCAGGAUUCUCUGGGGGCAAUAUCUGCUUUGAAUGUAUGGUGUGAGAGCAGCCUUAGAUUGUCACUAAGAGAGUUACACUUCAGUCCUGGAAGGGUAGACACCCACCAUCUAUUACACAAUGGUCUGAGGACCUCGCUGCCAUUUGAACACACUUCCUAUAAACAUCAGUUUUUGGAGGCUUGAAUGGCUUAUAUCGAUUUCUAUUUUAAAAUCAAGAUGGAUGUGUUGAUGGCUAUUGUAUUCUCAGUGUGAGCUGUUUUUUCUUUCACUUCCUCUUUUUCUUUUUUUCUUCCUUUGUUACAUUUGUUAUAAGAUUCUAGUCCUCAUAGUUCUCAACAAAGGGCUGAAUUAAAUUGGAACAUAAGAAGCUGCCUUAUACCGUUGAUCCAUCUACCUCAGCACUGUUUAUACUGUGGCAGCAUCUCUUCGGGGUUUCAGACCAGAGUUCUUCGCAACUCUAAGUGGAGAUGCCAGUGUGGACUGAACCUGGCUCCUUCUGCAUGCAAAGCAGGUGCUCUGCUGCUGAGCUAUGGCCCUUCCCCUAAAAAUAAAUUAAGAUUCUAGUCCCCAUAGUUCUCAGCUCCAAAGGGCUACAUUAAAUGGGAGCCAUGGAAGGCAAUUGGUUAAUCUAGCUCCAUAGCGUCUACACUGAUUGGCAGCAGCUCUUCGGGGUUUCAGGCAGGAGUCCUUCCAAGCCCUAACUGGAGCUGGCAGCUAUUGAACCAGGUACCUUCUGCAUGCCCUGCUGCCACUGUGUUAUGGCCUUUCCCCGCAGGGCCACCUUCGCAGGCAGCUGUCCUUGCAUCCGUCUCCUGUUUCCUGAAAUAAAAGCAGGAAGGUAAAAAUGAAAGCGCAGCCAUUUCUUACUUCCAACACUUGGCAGAUGUCUGCCAGUGGGAGGUGGGUGGAUGGCGGGCAGGCCAGGAAGACAUUGUGUUUCCUCGUGUCAGACCCUCCCCGCCGCUGAUGCAGGGAUGCAAGUUCUAGCUGGCUCGCCUCUCCGUUCCACACCAUCAUCAUAUUAACCAUCUGGCUGCGGAAAGUCAUAAGUAGGGAUGUGGGAGAAAUGUGGUUCCGUUUGCAUUUGAAGGCAAACCUGCCUAAUUGGCACAUUCUGAGACAAUGCCUGAACCCAAUCACAGCCGUCUGUUGAAAUUCAGACUUCUCUGCAUGUUGCAGUGCAGUUCUCUAGCCAAGUCGUGUCUACAGAAAUGCAUGCACCAGGGUGAAGAGUGCAUACAAAGGCAUACAUGAGUGAAAACAACACACAAAACUGCAUUGCGAAAAAUGUUUGCUUUGUAAAAAUGCAUAUUAGGCAAAGUCAUGUACCAAAAUGUACUUAUUAGGGUAAAUUUCCUCUACAAUGCUGAUAAAUUUUCAUGAGGACUUGUCUUUUUUUUUUAAAUAAUCACAAAACAAAU